This 235-nucleotide ribosomal RNA is filed under the name uncultured bacterium. RNAcentral's name for it is "partial 16S ribosomal RNA". It matches the Rfam family "Bacterial small subunit ribosomal RNA", at positions 57 to 305 of the family's 1533-position model. The record is from RNAcentral.
GCAAGUCGAGGGGUAACAGAGGAGCUUGCUUCUGCUGACGACCGGCGCACGGGUGAGUAACGCGUACACUACCUACCUUAUGGUACGGGAUAGCCCUGGGAAACUGGGAGUAAUACCGUAUGGUAUCGUGAGAUUAAAGAUUUAUCGCCAUAAGAUGGGUGUGCGUUUGAUUAGCUAGUUGGUAAGGUAACGGCUUACCAAGGCUACGAUCAAUAGGGGGCGUGAGAGCGUGACC